RNAcentral lists this ribosomal RNA (588 nucleotides) under Candida tropicalis. Its description in RNAcentral is "partial large subunit ribosomal RNA". It matches the Rfam family "Eukaryotic large subunit ribosomal RNA", at positions 52 to 656 of the family's 3401-position model. Lineage: Eukaryota; Fungi; Ascomycota; Pichiomycetes; Serinales; Debaryomycetaceae. The record is from RNAcentral.
GGAGGAAAAGAAACCAACAGGGAUUGCCUUAGUAGCGGCGAGUGAAGCGGCAAAAGCUCAAAUUUGAAAUCUGGCUCUUUCAGAGUCCGAGUUGUAAUUUGAAGAAGGUAUCUUUGGGUCUGGCUCUUGUCUAUGUUUCUUGGAACAGAACGUCACAGAGGGUGAGAAUCCCGUGCGAUGAGAUGAUCCAGGCCUAUGUAAAGUUCCUUCGAAGAGUCGAGUUGUUUGGGAAUGCAGCUCUAAGUGGGUGGUAAAUUCCAUCUAAAGCUAAAUAUUGGCGAGAGACCGAUAGCGAACAAGUACAGUGAUGGAAAGAUGAAAAGAACUUUGAAAAGAGAGUGAAAAAGUACGUGAAAUUGUUGAAAGGGAAGGGCUUGAGAUCAGACUUGGUAUUUUGUAUGUUACUUCUUCGGGGGUGGCCUCUACAGUUUAUCGGGCCAGCAUCAGUUUGGGCGGUAGGAGAAUUGCGUUGGAAUGUGGCACGGCUUCGGUUGUGUGUUAUAGCCUUCGUCGAUACUGCCAGCCUAGACUGAGGACUGCGGUUUAUACCUAGGAUGUUGGCAUAAUGAUCUUAAGUCGCCCGUCUUG